Molecule: ribosomal RNA, 705 nt
Filed under: bacterium
Lineage: Bacteria
Description: bacterial SSU rRNA
Rfam family: Bacterial small subunit ribosomal RNA
Source: RNAcentral
AGCCAGGGCGGCAUGCUUACCAUGCAGUCGAACGGCAGCACGGGUGCUUGCACCUGGUGGCGAGUGGCGAACGGGUGAGUAAUACAUCGGAACAUGUCCUGUAGUGGGGGAUAGCCCGGCGAAAGCCGGAUUAAUACCGCAUACGAUCUAAGGAUGAAAGCGGGGGACCUUCGGGCCUCGCGCUAUAGGGUUGGCCGAUGGCUGAUUAGCUAGUUGGUGGGGUAAAGGCCUACCAAGGCGACGAUCAGUAGCUGGUCUGAGAGGACGACCAGCCACACUGGGACUGAGACACGGCCCAGACUCCUACGGGAGGCAGCAGUGGGGAAUUUUGGACAAUGGGCGAAAGCCUGAUCCAGCAAUGCCGCGUGUGUGAAGAAGGCCUUCGGGUUGUAAAGCACUUUUGUCCGGAAAGAAAUCCCUGGUCCUAAUAUGGCCGGGGGAUGACGGUACCGGAAGAAUAAGCACCGGCUAACUACGUGCCAGCAGCCGCGGUAAUACGUAGGGUGCGAGCGUUAAUCGGAAUUACUGGGCGUAAAGCGUGCGCAGGCGGUUUGUUAAGACCGAUGUGAAAUCCCCGGGCUCAACCUGGGAACUGCAUUGGUGACUGGCAAGCUAGAGUAUGGCAGAGGGGGGUAGAAUUCCACGUGUAGCAGUGAAAUGCGUAGAGAUGUGGAGGAAUACCGAUGGCGAAGGCAGCCCCCUGGG